AGAUCUGGGACCAGUUGCUGAUUUCCAGGCUGGGGCUCUCUCACUAGAUGGAGUGUCUGUCGCUGAGGCUGGAGUGCAGCGAUGUGAUCUUAGCUCACUGCAACAUCUGCCUCCCUGGUUCAAGUGAUUUUCCUGAUUCAGCCUCCUGAGUAGCUGGGAUUACAGGUGCACACCACCACGCCUGCCUAAUUUUUGUAUUUUUAGUAGAGACAGGGUUUCUACUUGAACUCCUGACCUCCUGAUCCGCCUGCCUCGGCCUCCCAAAGUGCUGGGAUUACAGGCAUGAGCCACAGCACCUGGCCUUAGAUAGGAUUUUUAACACACACCACCGGCUCCUACUCACUUCAGUGCCUUCAGGUGAGUGGUUCUCCUCUGCUGAAAUACCUUCAUCCUUCCUCUUCGUGAACCCAAAUCCACCUCAGUCUGCAGACACCUUCCAAGUCACUUUCCUACCUGACCC
This 460-nucleotide long non-coding RNA is filed under the name Homo sapiens (human). RNAcentral's name for it is "HSALNT0168111". The record is from RNAcentral. Lineage: Eukaryota; Metazoa; Chordata; Mammalia; Primates; Hominidae.